Long non-coding RNA from Maylandia zebra (zebra mbuna), 386 nucleotides. RefSeq lists it as uncharacterized. The record is from RefSeq and is a predicted model, not a curated record. Lineage: Eukaryota; Metazoa; Chordata; Actinopteri; Cichliformes; Cichlidae.
AGUCAGUCAAUACCUAAAGCAACUACAGUCCUUCAAGUCUUCCAGUCACAGUCACCAUCCCAGCAGCCUCUAAGAAAGAAAACUGUCGACUUAAUGGAGAGAAAUAAGAAAAGCCUUUCCCUGUUUAUUCUGCUGCCUCUGCUGCUGCUCUGCACAAGUGAUGAGUGUCCCAGGCUUCCAGAGAAUCUCACUUGCUACACUGACUACAAUAGAAACAUCACAUGUUUGUGGAACAGCAGAUACGUGUCUGAUGACACUGCAUGCACCAUACAUGCUCACUAUAAAUCUCGCUACAUUUCUUACAGCGCUUCCUGUGACCUAAAGUCUGUUGACGUCUCCAGACCAGCGCUAAAGAAGUGCUCCCUGAUCUUUGAAAAGAAAAGCAC